This 76-nucleotide transfer RNA is filed under the name Gammaproteobacteria bacterium. Its description in RNAcentral is "tRNA-Thr". It matches the Rfam family "tRNA". Rfam says of the family: Transfer RNA (tRNA) molecules are approximately 80 nucleotides in length. Their secondary structure includes four short double-helical elements and three loops (D, anti-codon, and T loops). Lineage: Bacteria; Pseudomonadati; Pseudomonadota; Gammaproteobacteria. The record is from RNAcentral. RNAcentral also lists the same sequence under 4 other names.
GCCGGAGUAGCUCAGUUGGUAGAGCAGCGCAUUCGUAAUGCGAAGGUCGGAGGUUCGACUCCUCUCUCCGGCACCA